CCAAUCAUUUUCGAAACGGAUUUGUGAUAAAAUGUCCAUCAUCUCUGAAAUGGCAGAGGUGGUUGGUAAGAGCCUGCCAGAGAGAACAGGCUUUCCAAGAAAUAACCAUCUGAAAAUACUUGGCUCCCAGGAGGACAGGUUAUUUAAAAUAGUGCUUUACUGGACAUUUAAAACACAUCAAACCGCUUUCUCAUUUAAAUUGUCACCUCCUGACAUUUCCGGGGAUCCCAAAUUUGGAAGGAAAAACCUAGCAUGGUGUUUCUUGUGGUUGUCCUCUCAAGCACAUUUGAUCCAGGGUUCAGAGUUCGAUGUAUAGAGAAAGAGUGUUUCUAAGCCAUUGACAAUUUUCUUUAUUUCAAGUUGUGCUUCUUUCUCCUACCACAUGGCUGUAAGUCAAAGAUGUGGAAACAUGAAAUUAUGAUGCUUCUCCUAGCUACUGGCCUCCUGCCCCACUAAUGGUUAAUUGGCCCAGCUUAAAGCCUGGUGGUGAUGAGUACUAUGUCCAGAAAAAGAAAUGUUCAGAUUCCGUGACAAAGCUGCAUUUUAUAAAAAUAUCGGAGACCCCAAAAUGAACUUCAUGCUGACCAUUUCCUUCUCCCUUCUAUGUGCUUUCCCUUGCAAAGCCCUUCAAAUCCCCUGUCUCCUCCCCUCCUGCACCUCUUGUGCCCUUUUUACAUCUUAGAUUGCCUGAUUAUAACAGGGUAAAAAGAAAGCCAACCUCACGCACGAUUUGCAGAACUGAUUCCUACUUUUAAAAAAUCUUCUUUGAAUCCAGAAGCCAGAGAAGAUUUUUUUAGGGGCUUUAGUUUGGGAUAAAGCUUCCAGAUUAGCCAUGUCUAUUUGCAUCAAAGGGGAAAUAAAUGGGACUUUCAGGGCAGCUCACCUAGUGCAUUCAGAACAUUCCGCCCAUAGCCCCCAUGCCUGAAUUUGAUGGCAAAGUCAAAAGAAAUUAACUCAACCGGCAACAAUGACAACAUCUUAGUGAUCAGUUUCAUUGGUUCAAAGUGAUUUCCUCGAUGGAAGUCGCUUCAUAAAAUAUAAAAUACAGUGCACAGUGCUUUUGUCCUCUCUUUUGCAUGAGUUUGGUUUUAGGAGAAGGAAGAAGGUAGGGAAAGUCAGAGAGAUGCAACGUAUUUAACUGCAAAAAGCAGGUUCAUUCUUUCUUUCUUUUUAAAAGAUCUGACGAGGGCCGGCAUUUCUGGCCAUAAUUUUGCACCCGGAUCUUUGCCAAAGUGAAAAUUCGUUAAGUGGAACCUGUUUGAAAUGUACUUGUGGAAGCUUUCCCUGGCAUCUUCCAGAAGUGGCCACCUGCCAAGCGUGGGGUGGGGGCAGGAGGAGAGAAUUCGAAUUCUGAGUCUGGGUUACAUUUCGGUAAACAUGGUGAUAUCUCAGUUUGGAAAACUAGUGGGGCUGGCCUGAGCGUCCAUCAAUGCCUCUUUGAUGGCCUACUUUCCUCAGUGAGGAUCUUUGGGAAUACUUGAGAUAGAACAACAAAAAUGUGUCCAAGGAAACAAAAACUGCUUGUAAAUGUGAGAUCCUGUGACUAAUGGCCUGAGGCUUCAGGGUUUUCUCUUGCUUUUAACACUCUUAUGUCCCCUCUGCUGGUUCCUAAUAGAUCCCGGAAGGAACAGGGGGAAAAUCAAGCUGCAAUUCACUUUCUUAUGCGCGCCCUUCCAAUAGAGUACUGUAUUCUUCAGGUGUUUUGCAUUUGCGUUUGUAAGUCCUCGGGAAACAGGUAUCAGAAAAUGGGAGAGCGAAAUCCUGGGCCAUCACUUCACUAAUAUCCCAAACCAGAUACUCUUUUCAAACAGGGCUCCCUCUCAGCGGUCAUGAGGGAAGGGUGAUAACGUUCUUUGUUGGGGACUGUUUAUACAAUUUUUUUCAACUGUAAGCUUUGGAAUCGUAAAUUGCUUUGACUCCAGCUUCUGUCUACUGCCAUAAAAUGGACCCCACGUCAGAAUAAUGAGGGUGGUAUGUGUGCACAUGCCAUGCACGUGUGCAGAUGUACCUAUUGUACCUUCGCAGAAGGAAAACAGGCUACUGAUGUUUAAGAGGAGUAGCCACCAGUGCCUAAUAUCUUUUGGGGGGGAUGGAUGCUUAUAAUGCCAGUAUAUUGAAACCACACUGGGAGUUCCACAUGGAGGGGAGGGGCGGAGGGUGGGGAGAGGGGACAUUUUAAUCCUAGGCCUUUGGACUGGAGGCAGAAUGAUUUCUGCAAAUCUAGCUCCUGAAAGGCUUUGGGGCUCAUUGGCUGGUUCUCAAACUUUUGAUUUGAUUUUAGUUUUUUCCAGCAUGCAUUUCCUAUCUAAACCCAGACUUGGUUUAAUUUCCUUAUCUUUCACUUCUGCUUCAUUCCAGGGAGGAAAAAUACACCUAUUAUGGCCAAGAUCUCCUUGCUAACACAGAGGCAAAAAUAAAUGUUUAAUGUUUUUGCAGCCUCCCCUUCCUUUCCGUAAAUACCCCCCAAACCCCCUUCUCUCUCAUCACUCUGUCCCCAUUCCCGCCACACAACUCCCCAGCCACCACCACUUUGCUUUCCAGUCUCUAUUCUCCUCUUAACAGUUGCUUGAAGAAAUUUGUUUUUGCACUAUACAUUUUCUUUUUGCCAGAUGUGUCUAACAAGUGUGUUCGGAGAGACCUCCUCCCAGUCCCCUCCCCUCCCCCGCCUCCCCCGGUCACAUUCUCUCAGGCCUUCUCUGGUAUUUAUAAUAUAUCACAGAAGUACCCAGUCUUAUAGCCCUCGGUUAUGCCUUUUUUUGACAUUUUAUUUUUUUUAAGCUUUUUAUAUAUAUAUAUAAAUAUAUUACUUUGUCAAGUUUUUUUGCUGUACAAAAGUCUUAAGAUUUAAAACUAUUAUUUGUAUUAUAUGAUGGUGGUAUGUUAAUGUUACAAAAUUAUUAAUGAAGAAAAAAUUUAUUUUUGUUACUGGUCUGUUUCAUAAUUCUUUUUUAAAUUGGUAUAUUGUAAGAUAUCUAUGCAAAAAAUGUUAUGUGACGCAUUUUUAUUUAAGAAUGUAAUAUGUGUAAUAAACAGUAGAAUGUG
RNAcentral lists this long non-coding RNA (3042 nucleotides) under Canis lupus familiaris (dog). RNAcentral's name for it is "lncRNA (ENSCAFG00000054260.1)". Lineage: Eukaryota; Metazoa; Chordata; Mammalia; Carnivora; Canidae. The record is from RNAcentral.